CCUACGGGAGGCAGCAGUGGGGAAUAUUGGACAAUGGGGGGAACCCUGAUCCAGCCAUGCCGCGUGUGUGAAGAAGGCCCUCGGGUUGUAAAGCACUUUCAGGGAGGAAGAACGCCUGGUGGUUAAUACCCAUCAGGAAAGACAUCACUCACAGAAGAAGCACCGGCUAACUCCGUGCCAGCAGCCGCGGUAAUACGGAGGGUGCGAGCGUUAAUCGGAAUUACUGGGCGUAAAGCGCGCGUAGGUGGCUUGAUAAGCCGGUUGUGAAAGCCCCGGGCUCAACCUGGGAACGGCAUCCGGAACUGUCAAGCUAGAGUGCAGGAGAGGAAGGUAGAAUUCCCGGUGUAGCGGUGAAAUGCGUAGAGAUCGGGAGGAAUACCAGUGGCGAAGGCGGCCUUCUGGACUGACACUGACACUGAGGUGCGAAAGCGUGGGUAGCAAACAGGAUUAGAUACCCGUGUAGUC
Molecule: ribosomal RNA, 465 nt
Filed under: Vreelandella stevensii
Lineage: Bacteria; Pseudomonadati; Pseudomonadota; Gammaproteobacteria; Oceanospirillales; Halomonadaceae
Description: partial 16S ribosomal RNA
Rfam family: Bacterial small subunit ribosomal RNA
Source: RNAcentral